This is a long non-coding RNA of Frankliniella occidentalis (western flower thrips), 274 nucleotides long. RefSeq lists it as uncharacterized. NCBI's taxonomy places the organism in Eukaryota, Metazoa, Arthropoda, Insecta, Thysanoptera, Thripidae. The transcript has 2 exons. The record is from RefSeq and is a predicted model, not a curated record.
CUUUGACCUCCUAUGUCGCAAUUGCGUGCUUCCUGCCUAUUUUGCAUCCUGUUUCUUCGACUAUAAAAUUGCGUCUUUGGUUUGUUACAGGAAGAUCGGCCUGGAGGUGCACCUGACUUGGACAUCAGCCGUGCGGCCCAUGGAAUCAUCAGAUAUAAGUGGUAAGCAUCAAGUCCAGGCCCAGGCACAUCCCUUUAGAUAAGAAGCAGCAUCACUUCCUAUUUUACUACGACUGUACCAUACAAAUGAAAUAAAUAGCAGCAUUACUGUCAAA